Molecule: ribosomal RNA, 879 nt
Filed under: uncultured Nitrososphaerota archaeon
Lineage: Archaea; Thermoproteati; Nitrososphaerota
Description: bacterial SSU rRNA
Rfam family: Archaeal small subunit ribosomal RNA
Source: RNAcentral
UUCCGGUUGAUCCUGCCGGACCUGACUGCUAUCGGAUUGAUACUAAGCCAUGCGAGUCAUUGUAGCAAUACAAGGCAUACGGCUCAGUAACGCGUAGUCAACCUAACCUAUGGACGGGAAUAACCUCGGGAAACUGAGAAUAAUGCCCGAUAGAACAUUAUGCCUGGAAUGGUUUAUGUUCCAAAUGAUUUAUCGCCGUAGGAUGGGACUGCGGCCUAUCAGUUUGUUGGUGAGGUAAUGGCCCACCAAGACUAUUACAGGUACGGGCUCUGAGAGGAGUAGCCCGGAGAUGGGUACUGAGACACGGACCCAGGCCCUAUGGGGCGCAGCAGGCGAGAAAACUUUGCAAUGUGCGAAAGCACGACAAGGUUAAUCCGAGUGGUUUCUGCUAAAGAAACCUUUUGUCAGUCCUAGAAACACUGAUGAAUAAGGGGUGGGCAAGUUCUGGUGUCAGCCGCCGCGGUAAAACCAGCACUUCAAGUGGUCAGGAUGAUUAUUGGGCCUAAAGCAUCCGUAGCCGGCUCUGUAAGUUUUCGGUUAAAUCUGUACGCUCAACGUACAGGCUGCCGGGAAUACUGCAGAGCUAGGGAGUGGGAGAGGUAGACGGUACUCGGUAGGAAGGGGUAAAAUCCUUUGAUCUAUUGAUGACCACCUGUGGCGAAGGCGGUCUACCAGAACACGUUCGACGGUGAGGGAUGAAAGCUGGGGGAGCAAACCGGAUUAGAUACCCGGGUAGUCCCAGCUGUAAACUAUGCAAACUCAGAUGAUGCAUUGGCUUGUGGCUAGUGCAGUGCUGCAGGGAAGCCGUUAAGUUUGCCGCCUGGGAAGUACGUACGCAAGUAUGAAACUUAAAGGAAUUGGCGGGGGAGCACACAAGGG